GAAGAUGUGGGUCCGACUCCUACAGCUGACUAACCUUUUUAGUGACUUCCAUAUUUCAUCAUUAAUUUCUUAGGCACUUGGGGCCUUGAUAUCGAUGGUCGCUACGAAACAUGGAAACUUACCCGUAAAUUGUUGAAGGAUUACGCCGACGAGAUGAAGCAGCGGAUCGGGAAAGAACGAGAGGAGGCUCAGCGUAUGUAUGAAGAGACAGCGAAAAAGAUGACUGAAGAGGAGCACACUAAAUACAUCGAAGCGCUUACUGCUAUGGCCAAAACACACAGCAUAUAUAUCGAAAAGAUGAGAGAGUCUAUGGAUAAAGAAACAUUUUAUGGUAUCGUCGGUGACGCUGUGGUUGCCGGACUAUCCUUUCUCCCAGUAAAAAAAGGACUACGUUCGCUGGGAGAUUUCUAAGUAUCUGCAUGGGAAGGAGCUACU
This is a long non-coding RNA of Ornithodoros turicata, 435 nucleotides long. RefSeq lists it as uncharacterized. The record is from RefSeq and is a predicted model, not a curated record. The transcript has 5 exons. Lineage: Eukaryota; Metazoa; Arthropoda; Arachnida; Ixodida; Argasidae.